GAGACACGGUCCGGACUCCUACGGGAGGCAGCAGUGGGGAAUAUUGGACAAUGGGCGAAAGCCUGAUCCAGCAAUACCGCGUGUGUGAAGAAGGCCUUCGGGUUGUAAAGCACUUUAAGUUGGGAAGAAAAAACUUCAAUUAAUACUUGAAGUCUUGACGGUACCGACAGAAUAAGCACCGGCUAACUCUGUGCCAGCAGCCGCGGUAAUACAGAGGGUGCUAGCGUUAAUCGGAUUUACUGGGCGUAAAGCGUGCGUAGGUGGUGGUUUAAGUCUGCUGUGAAAGCCCUGGGCUCAACCUGGGAAUUGCAGUGGAUACUGGGUCACUAGAGUGUGGUAGAGGGAUGCGGAAUUUCUGGUGUAGCAGUGAAAUGCGUAGAGAUGUGGAGGAAUACCGAUGGCGAAGGCAGCCAUCUGGCCUAAUACUGACGCUGAGGUACGAAAGCAUGGGGAGCAAACAGGAUUAGAUACCCUGGUAGUCCAUGCCGUAAACGAUGUCUACUAGCCGUUGGGGCCUUUGAGGCUUUAGUGGCGCAGCUAACGCGAUAAGUAGACCGCCUGGGGAGUACGGUCGCAAGACUAAAACUCAAAUGAAUUGACGGGGGCCCGCACAAGCGGUGGAGCAUGUGGUUUAAUUCGAUGCAACGCGAAGAACCUUACCUGGUCUUGACAUGUCAAGAAGUCUGCAGAGAUGCGGAUGUGCCUUCGGGAACUUGAACACAGGUGCUGCAUGGCUGUCGUCAGCUCGUGUCGUGAGAUGUU
This 762-nucleotide ribosomal RNA is filed under the name Anophryoides haemophila. Its description in RNAcentral is "partial Bacterial small subunit ribosomal RNA". It matches the Rfam family "Bacterial small subunit ribosomal RNA", at positions 321 to 1076 of the family's 1533-position model. Lineage: Eukaryota; Ciliophora; Oligohymenophorea; Philasterida; Glauconematidae. The record is from RNAcentral.